This 31-nucleotide non-coding RNA is filed under the name Mus musculus (house mouse). The record is from RNAcentral. Lineage: Eukaryota; Metazoa; Chordata; Mammalia; Rodentia; Muridae.
UGCAACUCUCAAGGUUUUGUCUUAUUCAAGC